GAGUUUGAUCAUGGCUCAGGAUGAACGCUGGCGGCGUGCUUAACACAUGCAAGUCGAACGGGGUUAUGAAGUGUGAGGAGUCAGCUUGCUGGUGACGAACAGUUCAUAACUUAGUGGCGGACGGGUGAGUAACGCGUGGGUAACCUGCCAUAUACAGGGGGAUAACACUUAGAAAUAGGUGCUAAUACCGCAUAAGCGCACGGAGCUGCAUGGCUCAGUGUGAAAAACUCCGGUGGUAUAUGAUGGACCCGCGUCUGAUUAGCUUGUUGGCGGGGUAACGGCCCACCAAGGCGACGAUCAGUAGCCGGCCUGAGAGGGUGGACGGCCACAUUGGGACUGAGACACGGCCCAAACUCCUACGGGAGGCAGCAGUGGGGAAUAUUGGACAAUGGGGGGAACCCUGAUCCAGCGACGCCGCGUGAGUGAAGAAGUAUCUCGGUAUGUAAAGCUCUAUCAGCAGGGAAGAAAGAAAUGACGGUACCUGACCAAGAAGCCCCGGCUAACUACGUGCCAGCAGCCGCGGUAAUACGUAGGGGGCAAGCGUUAUCCGGAAUUACUGGGUGUAAAGGGAGCGCAGACGGCAGUGCAAGUCUGGAGUGAAAGCCCGUGGCUUAACCACGGGACUGCUCUGGAAACUGUGCAGCUAGAGUGCAGGAGAGGCAGGCGGAAUUCCUAGUGUAGCGGUGAAAUGCGUAGAUAUUAGGAGGAACACCAGUGGCGAAGGCGGCUUACUGGACUGUAACUGACGUUGAGGCUCGAAAGCGUGGGGAGCAAACAGGAUUAGAUACCCUGGUAGUCCACGCCGUAAACGAUGAUCACUAGGUGUCGGUGGGUAUGGACCCAUCGGUGCCGCAGCAAACGCAGUAAGUGAUCCACCUGGGGAGUACGUUCGCAAGAAUGAAACUCAAAGGAAUUGACGG
RNAcentral lists this ribosomal RNA (920 nucleotides) under uncultured bacterium. RNAcentral describes it as "bacterial SSU rRNA". It matches the Rfam family "Bacterial small subunit ribosomal RNA", at positions 9 to 916 of the family's 1533-position model. The record is from RNAcentral.